GACGAACGCUGGCGGCGUGCUUAACACAUGCAAGUCGAACGGAAAGGCCCUGCUUUUGUGGGGUGCUCGAGUGGCGAACGGGUGAGUAACACGUGAGUAACCUGCCCUUGACUUUGGGAUAACUUCAGGAAACUGGGGCUAAUACCGGAUAGGAGCUCCUGCUGCAUGGUGGGGGUUGGAAAGUUUCGGCGGUUGGGGAUGGACUCGCGGCUUAUCAGCUUGUUGGUGGGGUAGUGGCUUACCAAGGCUUUGACGGGUAGCCGGCCUGAGCGGGUGACCGGCCACAUUGGGCCUGAGAUACGGCCCAGACUCCUACGGGAGGCAGCAGUGGGGAAUAUUGCACAAUGGGCGGAAGCCUGAUGCAGCAGCGCCGCGUGCGGGAUGACGGCCUUCGGGUUGUAAACCGCUUUCGCCUGUGACGAAGCGUGAGUGACGGUAAUGGGUAAAGAAGCCCCGGCUAACUACGUG
Molecule: ribosomal RNA, 468 nt
Filed under: uncultured bacterium
Lineage: Bacteria
Description: partial 16S ribosomal RNA
Rfam family: Bacterial small subunit ribosomal RNA
Source: RNAcentral